This 612-nucleotide ribosomal RNA is filed under the name uncultured Thelephoraceae. RNAcentral describes it as "eukaryotic LSU rRNA". The stretch from base 184 to 338 matches the Rfam family "5.8S ribosomal RNA". The record is from RNAcentral. Lineage: Eukaryota; Fungi; Basidiomycota; Agaricomycetes; Thelephorales; Thelephoraceae.
GUUGUUGCUGGUCCCUGUAUGGGGGCAUGUGCACGCUCUGUUUACACAUCCACUCACACCUGUGCACCCUCUGUAGUUCUAUGGCCUGGGGGGCUCUGUCCUCCUGCCGUGGUCCUAUGUCUUUACACACACACCGUAGCAAAGUCUCAUGGAAUGUAUGUCGCGUUUAACGCAAUGAAAUACAACUUUCAGCAACGGAUCUCUUGGCUCUCGCAUCGAUGAAGAACGCAGCGAAAUGCGAUAAGUAAUGUGAAUUGCAGAAUUCAGUGAAUCAUCGAAUCUUUGAACGCACCUUGCGCCCUUUGGCUAUUCCGAAGGGCAUGCCUGUUUGAGUAUCAUGAACACCUCAACUCUCAUGGCUUGCCCAUGAUGAGCUUGGACUUUGGGGGUCUUGCUGGCCUGUGGGCCGGCUCCUCUCAAAUGAAUUAGCUUGCCAGUGUUUGGUGGGCAUCACAGGUGUGAUAACUAUCUACGCUUGUGGUCUUCCGCCAGGUAAUCUUCGGCAAUGAAGGUUCGCUGGAGCUCAUAAACGUCUCUCCUUGGUGGGGACAGAUUUGACCAUUUGAUCUCAAAUCAGGUAGGACUACCCGCUGAACUUAAGCAUAUCAAUAA